UCUGCCUGGUAGUGGGGGAUAACUUUCCGAAAGGUAAGCUAAUACCGCGUACGCCCUACGGGGGAAACAGGGGAUCUUUGGACCUUGCGCUAUCAGAUGAGCCCAGGUCGGAUUAGCUAGUUGGUGAGGUAAUGGCUCACCAAGGCGACGAUCCGUAGCUGGUCUGAGAGGAUGAUCAGCCACACCGGGACUGAGACACGGCCCGGACUCCUACGGGAGGCAGCAGUGGGGAAUAUUGGACAAUGGGGGGAACCCUGAUCCAGCCAUGCCGCGUGUGUGAAGAAGGUCUUCGGAUUGUAAAGCACUUUAAGUUGGGAGGAAGGGCUCCGGGUUAAUACCCUGUGAGUUUUGACGUUACCAACAGAAUAAGCACCGGCUAACUUCGUGCCAGCAGCCGCGGUAAUACGAAGGGUGCGAGCGUUAAUCGGAAUUACUGGGCGUAAAGCGCGCGUAGGUGGUUCAAUAAGUUGGAAGUGAAAUCCCCGGGCUUAACCUGGGAAUUGCUUUCAAAACUAUUGGGCUAGAGUACAGUAGAGGGUAGUGGAAUUUCCUGUGUAGCGGUGAAAUGCGUAGAUAUAGGAAGGAACAUCAGUGGCGAAGGCGACUACCUG
This 611-nucleotide ribosomal RNA is filed under the name uncultured bacterium. RNAcentral describes it as "bacterial SSU rRNA". It matches the Rfam family "Bacterial small subunit ribosomal RNA", at positions 125 to 731 of the family's 1533-position model. The record is from RNAcentral.